CCCAGCCAGCUGCUCCCGCACGCUGAUGAAUGAACUGUUGUUUAAUUCUGCACCUUUUACCUGGGCAGAGAGGGGAGGAUUUGUCCACCUGUAUUUUGCGCUUUGUCAUCUCUGCUAAUGUCAUUUUCUUAUAAAUGCAGUUUUGCUUAUAGUUUUUUUUAAAAUCUAGCUGCGCAUGUACACGUAGUUGAAGCUUCACCCGAUGCUUAAUGCAACGGAAUUAAAUAUGUGGCUUGCGCGUUCUUUUCGAAAUCUUAUUUUUAAAAGAGACACAUCCACAUUUAUAUAUCUCUCCAAAUCUGUCUGCCAAGUAUAGCAUUUCUACAUUGGCUUGUUCUUCCCCAUCCCUCACCUCGUCCCGGAGAUUCAAAGAUUGCCUUGAGCACCGUGCAGUUUUCUUUUAAACAGCCGCCUGAUUGCAGAAUGUGUCUGGAGGGUCAAGUCCUGGUGGGAGAAACUGAUCGUGCCACUGGAGCUUGGAACAAAAACAGACAUUGCUGGAAAAGCUCAGCAGGGUGGCAGCGUCUGUGACGAAUAAAUCAGAGUUUAUGUUUCGGGUCCGGUGACCCUUCCUCAGAACUUGAGGCUUGGAAACCCGUUGGACCGAGGAAAGUGGAUGAGGGCAUCGCUGGCUAGGCAGCAUUUAUUGCCAAUCCCUAAUUGCCCAGCGGACAGUUAAGAGCCAACCACAUUGCUGUGGGUCUGGAGUCACGCAUAGGCCAAACCAGGAAAAUGGAGUACAGUUGAAGUCAUAGAAGUUUUCAAUUUGUGCAACAUGAACCAGGAAAAGAACAGAUUGCACAGGCUGCCUGGUCAGAUGUUAUCAGCUAUCAGAAUUGCACCAAAUAUCCUUCAGAUAAAGCAAGACACCGCUGAACCCACUGUUCACUGAGGUCAUCCUGUUGCCAUCGCUAUUCGCUCGUUGUACCAUUAUCGACUCUCACUCCUACACAGUAAUGAUGCAAAAACUACAGCUGACAUGUGUAGACAAACAUCAAAUGGGGCAUGUUGCGAGAUGACCCACUUCAGCAAGAACUAACCCAUUUAACAAGUGGACUUUACAUAUUAUGCUUAAACUGAAAAGUUUGAGUUCUCUUUGCACUGUUCCCACAGCUCAUGUUAUGGGACUGAUGAAUAUUGACGAGUGUAUGUUGGUUGUACAUUACUGCGUGGGCACAAUAUGAAGAUUGGUUACUGUGGUUAAACUUAAUAAUUUUAUCUUUCAUAUCUGCCAGUGCCCAGAAAGACAAAGGGGAGCUUAAGAUUUAAGUUACAUGCAGAUAUUCAGAAGAUGAAAGUCUAUACACGACACCAAAGUGCUACAGGCAGUAUCUGAGAGUUCUGUCUUGUGAUUUUUAUUUUACCAUAGAUUGAGAGGUAGUGGCUUUGUCUCGAUGUUUUCUGAAUAUUGCUGAUUACUGGUAUAUUAUACAUCUGAACUAUCUGCAUUGUGUAAAUAUCCAAGAUGGUCAGAUAAGACAUUGAUAGUUUGACUGUUUUGUCUUAUGUCUAAUGUUUGUUAUUUUAGAACCAAACUGUCAUACCAAUAUUUAUGAACUUCUCCAUUUUCUCACCCGAAACUGCAAGGAGCUGUUGAAAGUUGAAAUUGAGAAAAACUUAUGCUUGUAUAAGAGCCUUUCAUAAUCAUUGUAUUUCUCAACACAGCCAAUAAAUCACAAGAAAUAUGGCAACCCACUGCACACAACAAAAUCCCAUAAAGAAGAAUGUGAUGAAGAUAUAUAUCACUUCAAAUAAACAGUUUGAUAGAUACAUAUUGUGUAGAAUGCUUGGAAAAAUCCUGUUCCAACAAAGUGGGUCCCAUGAAAAGUUUACAUCCGUGAAAAAAUGGCAGAAUGGCUUAGGUUUAAUGACUCAUCUAAAAGACUACACUUCUGAUGGUGCAGCUCUCUUUCUAGUGCUCCUGAGCCAUCACUCGAAUUCCUGCAUCAUUGUGUAGGUUCACGCAAGAGAUUUGACCACAUCACCAUUAAGUACAAGAAAGAGGAGUAGUAAGAUUUCUAAAGGUUUGAUUCCAGCAAUGGGUGCUGUUUUCAUUUGUUUCCCUGAGAGCUGCUAAUAUUUCAUCUUCCAGAGUACUUGUUUCAGUUUUUCUAGGGUUCCUGUUGGUAAUCACUUUACUGGGUUGUGUAUUUGGGUGGAAGCGCCUGUUUUGGCUGUAGCGCCUGUUCUGUAAGAUUACCAGUAAGAAGAAGCUAGACAAGGCAGUCUUUUCAUUUUUCAUCUGCAGUGCUGAAUGCCAGGGAUUAACUGUCAUGCAGUAGGGUGAAGAUUCGUGUGUGGUUCUCAAUAAAGUAUUAGAAACUUAGAGAGAGGAUGCAUUGCAUGUAGCUCAGCCAGAUCUUGUCCUUAUCAAAAGGUAGGGGGUUGUUGGUCAGCAGCCAGGGGUAGGUCUUCUGACUGACAAUAAUACCCCUCCUUAAUCCGGGGACUAGAAAGUCAAUGGUCUUGACUGGAAUCUACUGACACCAAUUCGGUGCAAAAAAUUAGCUUGAUUUUAGAUUUUCACACACCUUCCUACCUCAGUACUGCAUCUAAUAUUGUGUUUAUCCACUUAACUAUUUAGUGGAAAUAAUUAAGAAUCCAGCGAUUAAUGCUAACCAGUUAAGUUGUUCAUAUUUUGAUUUUUGCAUAGUAAAAUUGACAUUGUAAAAUUAAAAUUUGUAAUUGAAAUAAAUCGUUGAAACUUGAUAGACCUCAUUUCAAGUGAAGUAAACAUGCACAAACCGAUGAACAGUUUUGUGCACUUAGUUUCUGUUUCGCUCAGUCUUAUAAAAGUUGAUUUACCGUACUAUAGAGCUGUAUGAUAAGCUGGUUUUUGCUUCUAAGCAGGACAACACACCAUCUCUUUCCAUUCAUCACAAGCUCAGCACCUGUGCUCACUUUAUGAAUGUCAACUAAGGGUGUUUAUACAAUCAUAAAUGUUCCUGUAAAAUUAAUAUUAUUCCAUUGUCCUUCAUUAAGUGAGAAGUUUGCAUUGGUUGUGAAAGGCAAAAUAAAAGAAGCAUUCACCAAGUGUGUGUAAAUGUUGAUUUAUAAGCAUCCUUGUCUCAAUGUGAAGUGAUAAUGGGAAC
Stegostoma tigrinum is the source of this 3092-nucleotide long non-coding RNA. RefSeq lists it as uncharacterized. The record is from RefSeq and is a predicted model, not a curated record. Lineage: Eukaryota; Metazoa; Chordata; Chondrichthyes; Orectolobiformes; Stegostomatidae. The transcript is spliced from 4 exons.